UACGGAGGGAGCUAGCGUUGUUCGGAAUUACUGGGCGUAAAGCGCACGUAGGCGGAUAUUUAAGUCAGGGGUGAAAUCCCGGGGCUCAACCCCGGAACUGCCUUUGAUACUGGGUAUCUGGAGGUCGAGAGAGGCGAGUGGAAUUCCGAGUGUAGAGGUGAAAUUCGUAGAUAUUCGGAGGAACACCAGUGGCGAAGGCGGCUCGCUGGCUCGAUACUGACGCUGAGGUGCGAAAGCGUGGGGGGCAAACAGG
RNAcentral lists this ribosomal RNA (253 nucleotides) under uncultured bacterium. RNAcentral's name for it is "partial 16S ribosomal RNA". It matches the Rfam family "Bacterial small subunit ribosomal RNA", at positions 524 to 776 of the family's 1533-position model. The record is from RNAcentral.